GAUGAACGCUGGCGGCGUGCCUAAUACAUGCAAGUCGAGCGAACAGACGCGGAGCUUGCUCCUCUGACGUUAGCGGCGGACGGGUGAGUAACACGUGGCUAACCUACCUAUAAGACUGGGAUAACUUCGGGCAACCGGAGCUAAUACCGGACAAUAUAUUGAACUGCAUGGUUCAAUAGUUGAAGACGGUUUUGCUGUCACUUAUAGAUGGAUCCGCCCCGCAUUAGCUAGUUGGUAAGGUAACGGCUUACGAAGGCAACGAUGCGUAGCGGACCUGAGAGGGUUAUCGGCCACACGGGAACUGAGACACGGUCCAGACUCCGACGGGAGGCAACAGUAGGGAAUCUUACGGAAUGGGCGAAAGCCUGACGGAGCAACGUCGCGUGAGUGAUGAAGGUCUUAGGAUCGUAAAACUCUGUUAUUAGGGAAGUACAAAUGUGUAAGUAACUAUGCACGUCUUGACGGUACCUUAUCAGAAAGCCACGGCUAACUACGUG
Molecule: ribosomal RNA, 497 nt
Filed under: uncultured bacterium
Lineage: Bacteria
Description: partial 16S ribosomal RNA
Rfam family: Bacterial small subunit ribosomal RNA
Source: RNAcentral